UAGGGAAUCUUCGGCAAUGGGGGCAACCCUGACCGAGCAACGCCGCGUGAGUGAAGAAGGUUUUCGGAUCGUAAAGCUCUGUUGUAAGUCAAGAACGGGUGUGAGAGUGGAAAGUUCACACUGUGACGGUAGCUUACCAGAAAGGGACGGCUAACUACGUGCCAGCAGCCGCGGUAAUACGUAGGUCCCGAGCGUUGUCCGGAUUUAUUGGGCGUAAAGCGAGCGCAGGCGGUUUGAUAAGUCUGAAGUUAAAGGCUGUGGCUCAACCAUAGUUCGCUUUGGAAACUGUCAAACUUGAGUGCAGAAGGGGAGAGUGGAAUUCCAUGUGUAGCGGUGAAAUGCGUAGAUAUAUGGAGGAACACCGGUGGCGAAAGCGGCUCUCUGGUCUGUAACUGACGCUGAGGCUCGAAAGCGUGGGGGAGCGAACAGGAUUAGAUACC
RNAcentral lists this ribosomal RNA (440 nucleotides) under uncultured bacterium. RNAcentral's name for it is "partial 16S ribosomal RNA". It matches the Rfam family "Bacterial small subunit ribosomal RNA", at positions 355 to 786 of the family's 1533-position model. The record is from RNAcentral.